This 274-nucleotide ribosomal RNA is filed under the name uncultured bacterium. Its description in RNAcentral is "partial 16S ribosomal RNA". It matches the Rfam family "Archaeal small subunit ribosomal RNA", at positions 473 to 747 of the family's 1478-position model. The record is from RNAcentral.
AAACCAGCACCUCAAGUGGUCAGGAGGAUUAUUGGGCCUAAAGCAUCCGUAGCCUGCUGUAUAAGUUUUCGGUUAAAUCCAUACGCUCAACGUAUGGGCCGCCGGGAAUACUGUACAGCUAGGGAGUGGGAGAGGUAGACGGUACUCGGUAGGAAGGGGUAAAAUCCUUUGAUCUAUUGAUGACCACCUGUGGCGAAGGCGGUCUACCAGAACACGUUCGACGGUGAGGGAUGAAAGCUGGGGGAGCAAACCGGAUUAGAUACCCCAGUAGUCC